CCUACGGGUGGCAGCAGUGAGGAAUAUUGGUCAAUGGACGAGAGUCUGAACCAGCCAAGUAGCGUGAAGGAUGACUGCCCUAUGGGUUGUAAACUUCUUUUAUAUGGGAAUAAAAUGUUCCACGUGUGGGAUUUUGUAUGUACCAUAUGAAUAAGGAUCGGCUAACUCCGUGCCAGCAGCCGCGGUAAUACGGAGGAUCCGAGCGUUAUCCGGAUUUAUUGGGUUUAAAGGGUGCGUAGGCGGAAGGUUAAGUCAGCGGUAAAAUGUCGGUGCUCAACACCGGCCUGCCGUUGAAACUGGUCGUCUGGAGUGAGCGAGAAGUAUGCGGAAUGCGUGGUGUAGCGGUGAAAUGCAUAGAUAUCACGCAGAACUCCGAUUGCGAAGGCAGCAUACCGGAGCGCAACUGACGCUGAGGCACGAAAGCGUGGGGAUCGAACAGGAUUAGAUACCCCAGUAGUC
RNAcentral lists this ribosomal RNA (459 nucleotides) under uncultured bacterium. Its description in RNAcentral is "partial 16S ribosomal RNA". It matches the Rfam family "Bacterial small subunit ribosomal RNA", at positions 338 to 795 of the family's 1533-position model. The record is from RNAcentral.